AUACGUAGGUGGCAAGCGUUGUCCGGAAUUAUUGGGCGUAAAGCGCGCGCAGGUGGUUCCUUAAGUCUGAUGUGAAAGCCCCCGGCUCAACCGGGGAGGGUCAUUGGAAACUGGGGAACUUGAGUGCAGAAGAGGAUAGUGGAAUUCCAAGUGUAGCGGUGAAAUGCGUAGAGAUUUGGAGGAACACCAGUGGCGAAGGCGACUGUCUGGUCUGGAACUGACACUGAGGCGCGAAAGCGUGGGGAGCAAACAGGAUUAGAUACCCUGGUAGUCCACGCCGUAAACGAUGAGUGCUAAGUGUUGGGGGGUUUCCGCCCCUCAGUGCUGCAGCUAACGCAUUAAGCACUCCGCCUGGGGAGUACGGUCGCAAGACUGAAACUCAAAUGAAUUGACGGGG
RNAcentral lists this ribosomal RNA (397 nucleotides) under uncultured bacterium. RNAcentral's name for it is "partial 16S ribosomal RNA". It matches the Rfam family "Bacterial small subunit ribosomal RNA", at positions 523 to 918 of the family's 1533-position model. The record is from RNAcentral.